GUCAGAUAGCUCAGUGUAGAGCAAGACUGAAUC
Molecule: transfer RNA, 33 nt
Filed under: Pseudoroegneria geniculata subsp. scythica
Lineage: Eukaryota; Viridiplantae; Streptophyta; Magnoliopsida; Poales; Poaceae
Description: partial tRNA-Phe
Source: RNAcentral